RNAcentral lists this ribosomal RNA (449 nucleotides) under uncultured bacterium. Its description in RNAcentral is "partial 16S ribosomal RNA". It matches the Rfam family "Bacterial small subunit ribosomal RNA", at positions 29 to 523 of the family's 1533-position model. The record is from RNAcentral.
AAUGAACGCUGGCGGCAUGCCUAACACAUGCAAGUCGAACGAAGGCUUCGGCCUUAGUGGCGCACGGGUGCGUAACGCGUGGGAAUCUGCCCUUGGGUUCGGAAUAACAGUUAGAAAUGACUGCUAAUACCGGAUGAUGUCGUAAGACCAAAGAUUUAUCGCCCAAGGAUGAGCCCGCGUAGGAUUAGCUAGUUGGUGGGGUAAAGGCCCACCAAGGCGACGAUCCUUAGCUGGUCUGAGAGAAUGAUCAGCCACACUGGGACUGAGACACGGCCCAGACUCCUCCUGGAGGCAGCAGUGGGGAAUAUUGGACAAUGGGCGAAAGCCUGAUCCAGCAAUGCCGCGUGAGUUAUGAAGGCCUUAGGGUUGUAAAGCUCUUUUACCCGGGAUGAUAAUGACAGUACCGGGAGAAUAAGCUCCGGCUAACUUCGUGCCAGCAGCCGCCGUAA